UACGGAGGGUGCAAGCGUUAUCCGGAUUCACUGGGCUUAAAGGGUGCGUAGGUGGGUUGGUAAGUCAGUGGUGAAAUCUCCGAGCUUAGCUUGGAAACUGCCAUUGAUACUAUCAGUCUUGAAUAUUGUGGAGGUCAGCGGAAUAUGUCAUGUAGCGGUGAAAUGCUUAGAUAUGACAUAGAACACCAAUUGCGAAGGCAGCUGGCUACUCAUAUAUUGACACUGAGGCACGAAAGCGUGGGGAUCAAACAGG
RNAcentral lists this ribosomal RNA (253 nucleotides) under uncultured bacterium. RNAcentral's name for it is "partial 16S ribosomal RNA". It matches the Rfam family "Bacterial small subunit ribosomal RNA", at positions 524 to 776 of the family's 1533-position model. The record is from RNAcentral.